Molecule: long non-coding RNA, 1615 nt
Organism: Tupaia belangeri chinensis (Chinese tree shrew)
Lineage: Eukaryota; Metazoa; Chordata; Mammalia; Scandentia; Tupaiidae
Exons: 3
Source: RefSeq, a predicted model, not a curated record
UGCUUUAGUGCAUCCGGUGCUGCGAGUCUGGGAUGAGACACUGCAACCCGAGAGGGAGCAAGCGCGAGGCUGGGAGCAGAGAGGCUCGGCUCCCAGAUAUGGAAGGAAGUGAGAAAUGACAGGGUGGGGAGCUGUGAGGAGCGCCAAGUGGAUUCUCAGCAAAGGGGGGAAGCCAUAGCAGAGCUAAAGGUGAUUAGAGGGGGAUAUUGAUUCCUUAUUCUGCCAGAGAUUUAAGCAGGCAUGCGAGGAAUCUGCAGCAUGGUUGGCAAAAGGGGACCCGUUGCCUCCUGUAACCAGACACUCAGGCUUUCCAGGAGCCUAGGGAGAGAGCCGAGAAGAAAGGGGGCAGUGUGGGCUAGGCAAAUCCAGCUUGUCGCUGAUUUGUGCCUGAUGCUUGCUGUCCGUCAGCAGCCUCCCUUACAAUCUUUUUUCUCUCUCCCUUUUUUUCCCCCUUGCCUUCUCCUUCUUCACUGAAGCCUAGGGGAGCCAGUAAAGAUUAAAUGUGCUUUCUCAAAGGCGGCCACUUCACGCUGCUAUGUCGAAAGGGCCAUUAUUAUUAUUAUUUUUAAUAGUCAAAGAAAAAGGGAGAGAGGUUGAGAGAGAGAGGGAGAAGCUAGGUCUGAGGAGGACGGACUAGCUUUUCUGAGAGAGGAAAAGGAGAAGGGAAGGGAAAGCAAAAGGAGAGAGCCCGAGCUGGACGGAGGAUUGUGCCUGAGAAGAACCUACGGAGCAUAAACUAGAGUUACAGUCUCUAGAUUUGGUGUAUCGCUUCCUGCCCCCGCCUCCCCUCCCCGCCCCCGUUCUCGUACACCUCGCCCAGCCUAGCGCACGGGGAGCUCACAUUUCCCCCCCUUGCUCGGGAUGGUGGUGCAGGAAGCCCGUGCUGCUUCGAAUGGUUGUGUUGAUGUUCCUUCCAGCUGUUCCCAUAGCCCCCCUCCUCAGGAAUCUCUCCCCAGUGAAAAGACAAAGACCUCAGAGACUACUCUAUUGAUGGACCCUCAAGCCAGCUAUGAAGUUGAAACAAAGAAAGUGCUCACCUGAGGACACCUCUUCUGCUAAGCGACACACCCACAGGGUGCAGCUUCCACCAGUAGAAGUCUUGAACAGGAGGCAGGCUUUUCAAGAAGCAGAAAAGCUUAACGACUUCAUAAUCUAGAUUUCUAAUGAGCCAAGAAGGUUCCCUUCCUUGUGUGUAUUCCUCUGUUUGUAUUUAAAUUCAUGUGACAUUUAAUUUUUUUUCCUAAUAUGGAUGUGUUUAGCAAUGCACUAGAAUUCAAAUUUAAAAAUCUAGACUUGCACUAAUGUGUCAAUGUUUGAGGGAACGACAUUAAUAUAAGGAGAAUGACUUUUAGCCAUGCACAGUUUGAUCUUAAGAGUGGCCUAGAGAAUAAAAAGUAGUUUUGGAGUAACAAAGUAGUCAAAGGCAAUCCAAAGGAAAAGAUAAUGGUGGAAACUCAUACGGCAGCGUAGAAGUACGAUGUUAUUCCACCGUUAUCUUAAUCAAGCAAGCUAGCUUCUGGGAGAUCCAGUCACUGCUUUUAAAGACCUUAAGUCUGUUAGACAAAGGUAUAUACAUCUUUGAAAAGGUAAAUAACACGUCAGAAGAUGGUAAGGA